GACGAACGCUGGCGGCGUGCUUAACACAUGCAAGUCGAACGGAAAGGCCCUGCUUUUGUGGGGUGCUCGAGUGGCGAACGGGUGAGUAACACGUGAGUAACCUGCCCUUGACUUUGGGAUAACUUCAGGAAACUGGGGCUAAUACCGUAUAGGAGCUCCUGCUGCAUGGUGGGGGUUGGAAAGUCUCGGCGGUUGGGGCUGGACUCGCGGCUGACCAGCUUGUUGGUGGGGUAGUGGCUUACCAAGGCUUUGACGGGUAGCCGGCCUGAGAGGGUGACCGGCCACAUUGGGCCUGAGAUACGGCGCAGACUCCUACGGGAGGCAGCAGUGGGGAAUAUUGCACAAUGGGCGGAAGCCUGAGGCAGCAACGCCGCGGGCGUGAUGACGGCCUGUGGGUUGUAAAACGCUUUAGCCUGUGACGAAGCGUGAGUGACGGUAAUGGGUAAAGAAGCACCGGCUAACUACGUG
RNAcentral lists this ribosomal RNA (468 nucleotides) under uncultured bacterium. RNAcentral's name for it is "partial 16S ribosomal RNA". It matches the Rfam family "Bacterial small subunit ribosomal RNA", at positions 28 to 507 of the family's 1533-position model. The record is from RNAcentral.